This is a long non-coding RNA of Vidua chalybeata, 414 nucleotides long. RefSeq lists it as uncharacterized. NCBI's taxonomy places the organism in Eukaryota, Metazoa, Chordata, Aves, Passeriformes, Viduidae. The transcript has 2 exons. The record is from RefSeq and is a predicted model, not a curated record.
UGUGAGGAGGAAGUGACAUCAGAGGCAAUAUGCAAAUGCAGAAACACACCAAAUCCAGCACCAAAAACCCCCUAAAACAGCGAGCGACAAUGAAAUUGAAAGACCUAAAUGUAGUAAAAGUUCAGCUCUGGGGGCUCCCUGGGUUCCCAGCCAGUCCGGGGAAUGAUCCUCGGCUGACCGGUCCGCAGGGAGGGAAAUGUCAGCUGGAAUGAGGACCCAAGCUACAACUCAGACUUUGGAAUCCUGCUGCUCCCGUGAGGACAGAAUCCUCGGCUCUGCCUGUGUGCAAAGUGGACAGAGCUGCACUCCUCCUCCUCUGUGCCACUCCGGGAAGCAGUGGCGGCAUGUGUACAACCCGUUGGGCCCCCACCUGAGCUGGUCACUUUUUAAUAAAGACAUUUUAAAGGAGCAUGA